This 29-nucleotide small RNA is filed under the name Bombyx mori (domestic silkworm). RNAcentral describes it as "ovarian small RNA-11937". Lineage: Eukaryota; Metazoa; Arthropoda; Insecta; Lepidoptera; Bombycidae. The record is from RNAcentral.
AGAGUAAUGAAAGACAAGACGGCGUGCAA